GACGAACGCUGGCGGCGUGCUUAACACAUGCAAGUCGAACGGAAAGGCCCUGCUUUUGUGGGGUGCUCGAGUGGCGAACGGGUGAGUAACACGUGAGUAACCUGCCCUUGACUUCGGGAUAACUUCAGGAAACUGGGGCUAAUACCGGAUAGGAGCUCCUGCUGCAUGGUGGGGGGUGGAAAGUUUCGGCGGUUGGGGAUGGACUCGCGGUUUCUCAGCUUGUUGGUGGGGUAGUGGUAUAACAAGGCCUUGACGGGUAGCCGGCCUGAGAGGGUGACCGGACACAUUGGGACUGAGAUACGGCCCAGACUCCUACGGGGGGGAGGAGUGGGGAAUAGUGCAAAGUGGGCGGAAGCCUGGUGGAGCAGCGGCGCGUGCGGGAUGACGGCCUGCGGGUUGUAAACCGCUUUCGCCUGUGACGGAGCGUGAGUGACGGUAGUGGGUAAAGAAGCACCGGCUAACUACGUG
RNAcentral lists this ribosomal RNA (468 nucleotides) under uncultured bacterium. Its description in RNAcentral is "partial 16S ribosomal RNA". It matches the Rfam family "Bacterial small subunit ribosomal RNA", at positions 28 to 507 of the family's 1533-position model. The record is from RNAcentral.